UCCAUCCUGAGUUUCAUGGCU
Molecule: microRNA, 21 nt
Filed under: Prunus persica (peach)
Lineage: Eukaryota; Viridiplantae; Streptophyta; Magnoliopsida; Rosales; Rosaceae
Description: microRNA miRNA_386
Source: RNAcentral